Molecule: ribosomal RNA, 389 nt
Filed under: uncultured bacterium
Lineage: Bacteria
Description: bacterial SSU rRNA
Rfam family: Bacterial small subunit ribosomal RNA
Source: RNAcentral
AUUGAACGCUGGCGGCAUGCUUUACACAUGCAAGUCGAACGGCAGCACGGGUGCUUGCACCUGGUGGCGAGUGGCGGACGGGUGAGUAAUACAUCGGAACGUGUCCAGAAGAGGGGGAUAACGCAUCGAAAGAUGUGCUAAUACCGCAUAUGCUCUGAGGAGGAAAGUGGGGGAUCGAAAGACCUUACGCUUUUGGAGCGGCCGAUGUCUGAUUAGCUAGUUGGUGGGGUAAGGGCCGUACCAAGGCGACGAUCAGUAGUUGGUCUGAGAGGACGACCAGCCACACUGGGACUGAGACACGGCCCAGACUCCUACGGGAGGCAGCAGUGGGGAAUUUUGGACAAUGGGCGCAAGCCUGAUCCAGCAAUGCCGCGUGAGUGAAGAAGGCC